This 495-nucleotide ribosomal RNA is filed under the name uncultured bacterium. RNAcentral describes it as "partial 16S ribosomal RNA". It matches the Rfam family "Bacterial small subunit ribosomal RNA", at positions 28 to 507 of the family's 1533-position model. The record is from RNAcentral.
GAUGAACGCUGGCGGCGUGCCUAAUACAUGCAAGUAGAACGCUGAAGGAGGAGCUUGCUCUUCUGGAUGAGUUGCGAACGGGGGAGUAACGCGUAGGUAACCUGCCUGGUAGCGGGGGAUAACUAUUGGAAACGAUAGCUAAUACCGCAUGACAACAGUUAUUGCAUGAUAACUGUUUAAAAGGGGCAACUGCUCCACUACCAGAUGGACCUGCGUUGUAUUAGCUAGUUGGUGAGGUAACGGCUCACCAAGGCGACGAUACAUAGCCGACCUGAGAGGGUGAUCGGCCACACUGGGACUGAGACACGGCCCAGCCUCCUACGGGAGGCAGCAGUAGGGAAUCUUCGGCAAUGGACGGAAGUCUGACCGAGCAACGCCGCGUGAGUGAAGAAGGUUUUCGGAUCGUAAAGCUCUGUUGUAAGAGAAGAACGAGUGUGAGAGUGGAAAGUUCACACUGUGACGGUAUCUUACCAGAAAGGGACGGCUAACUACGUG